UUUUGCCAUUUCUUUUUUUGCAUGCCGAAUCAAUGUGCACGCAACUUCGGAGCUACGAUGUUUUUCUGAAUGAACAGCUUCAUCAGCACUUGUAACUAGGUUGUCAAACUAAUAUCCGGGAUAGACGGAAAAGACACCAACAGUCUCCGAUUCCGAUUGACAAACUCAUCUCUCUCUCUUCUGCUUUUUUUUUCUUUCUUUCUUUUUUUUUUUUUUUUUUUUUUUUGUGAAAACGACGUGGAUGCACGUGCUGUCGUGCCUCCGGGUAGCUACGCCCCUGGUUUUAGAUACUA
RNAcentral lists this long non-coding RNA (293 nucleotides) under Mytilus galloprovincialis (Mediterranean mussel). The record is from RNAcentral. Lineage: Eukaryota; Metazoa; Mollusca; Bivalvia; Mytilida; Mytilidae.